Molecule: transfer RNA, 73 nt
Filed under: Ferruginibacter sp.
Lineage: Bacteria; Pseudomonadati; Bacteroidota; Chitinophagia; Chitinophagales; Chitinophagaceae
Description: tRNA-His
Rfam family: tRNA
About the family: Transfer RNA (tRNA) molecules are approximately 80 nucleotides in length. Their secondary structure includes four short double-helical elements and three loops (D, anti-codon, and T loops).
Source: RNAcentral
GUUGUCUUUAGCUUAUCUGGUAAAGCACUGCACUGUGAAUGCAAUGAACAGGGUUCGAUUCCCGGAGACAACC